This 71-nucleotide transfer RNA is filed under the name Toxocara canis (dog roundworm). It matches the Rfam family "tRNA". From Rfam's summary of the family: Transfer RNA (tRNA) molecules are approximately 80 nucleotides in length. Their secondary structure includes four short double-helical elements and three loops (D, anti-codon, and T loops). The record is from Rfam by way of RNAcentral. Lineage: Eukaryota; Metazoa; Nematoda; Chromadorea; Rhabditida; Toxocaridae.
UGGGCAGUAGCUCAGUGGUAGAGCUCCCGCUUCAUAUGCGGAAGACCUGGGUUGGACUCUCGGCUGCUUAC